Microcebus murinus (gray mouse lemur) is the source of this 3802-nucleotide non-coding RNA. The record is from RefSeq and is a predicted model, not a curated record. NCBI's taxonomy places the organism in Eukaryota, Metazoa, Chordata, Mammalia, Primates, Cheirogaleidae.
AACGCCUCUUUCCGGUUCUGUCUGGCCCUUUCUCUCCAAAUACCACUUAGCACACGAUGCUCUCUCAUAGCCUUGACAAUCUAGAAUCUCUUCCACAACUUGCCCCCAUGUCCCCAGCCUUUAGCUUAGGAAAACCCAUUCUUCAAGGCCCAGCUCAAACAUCACUUCCUCUGAGAAGCCUUCCUGUGUUUUCCUUGCUUCUCCUUGUCCAUUAUUUUACAACAGGGGGCCUGAAAUUCUAAUAGCACCGAUCUCACUCUGUAUCUUAAGUAGCUUGUUUUUUGUCCAUCCUCUGUGCUCUCCUUUGGGCUUCUUGAAAACUAACACUGUCUUAUUUGUCUUUGCAUACCCAGGCAAUCAACUGUUCAAAGGAGGAGGAAGGGAAGCCAGGGAGGCUCCAGGAGUUUGGAAGAAGUAUUAGCAGGGAGAGAGUGCGGGAGACGCUGCCGAGAUGUCAGCUGUCGGCGCAGGAAGGAAGGACUCAGGGUCUGCAAACCGCAGAGGAGAGACUGCCCGGCAGUGCCCACUGCACAUCUGGCUGAGCAGCUGCAAUGUCCUGCCUGCCCCCGACGCAGCCUCUCCAUCCCUGCAGGCCCAGGAUCAAAAUCUUCCCAGUCCACAAAUCGGGGUUCCAUCACAGAGUUGAGAACCAAAAGCCCCCGAGGAGCCUUCUUCACUCAUCUUCUUUGUGUGUCGCCUGUGCAGACCUGUGGACCUGACCCAGCAGGUACCUGGCCGUGUUCUGUGGUUCUCCUCCUCUGCAUCUGCUGGCAUCCGCCCCCUCUACCGCAGAGCCCGUGUCAGCUCGUGCCUAGUGCGUAAUGACAACCUCCAAAUGGCCUGCCUGCCUCUCCUGCCCCCUAGCCCUUUCUGCACAAAGGACUUUCUAAACACAGAUUUCAACACCUGGGUCACUUACCUGCCUGAUAACCUUUUCAUGCUCCCACGGCCUCAGUCACCAAGACCCGUGCGACCAUCGGAUAGUCUUAGGUGACCUCUCCAUCGAGUGACGAAAUCAAGAGGCUGUGUUUGAAACUGAUCUUACCACUACUUCCUCAGGGGGAGACCUUCCUGCUCUCUGAAGAUGACAGAAAGAUCUCACGGUGGUGACCUCGUAGGCCACUGAUGGUGAGCAUCAGUGACAGUGGACGUGAAGGGCUUUACAAACUCUCAAGUGCAGUAGCAGCAUUCCAGUCCAUUCGGGUCUCUGGCACCUCUCUCAAGGUCUAUGCAGGAUGGUUUUCUUAUGGUUCUCAUGUUGUAGGGAUUCUCUCUCUUUUGAUUGGCAGGCAAAUCCUGCCCUCCAAAGCUCACCAACUUCCCACCCUGGAAACUUCCUUUGCUCGCUGCACCCCUUAGUACUGAGUCUGACCUGCCUCAGUUCUUCUGUGCCUAGGUAGGAGUUCUGUGGCUGAGGCUUCCUCAUUAUCUCAUUUAAUCCUCACAAUAGACUUAGUAAGGUUUCCGGAUACAACAUUAAUAUACAAAGACCAAAUGCACUUCUAUAUAUUAGCAACAAAUAAACAGAAAAAGAAAUUUAAAAAAAUACCAUUUACAAAAUGUGUAUGCCGGGGAAUGAAUAUGAACGAAGUUAUCCAUGACCUCUACACUGAAAACCGUAAAGUAUUAUUGUGAUAAAUUAAAGAAAAUCUACAUUAAUGCAGAGAUGCACCGGGUUCAUGGAUCAGAAGGCUUGAUAACCUACAGAUUUUAAUUAUUUCCAGAUUGGCCUAUAUAGUGUCAAUACAAUCACAGUCAAAAUCCCAGUGGCUUAUAUAUUAAAAUGCAAAGGACCAAGAAUAACUAAGAUCAUAUUGAUAAAGAAUCAAGCUGGAGCGGGAGUGGUAACAGGUAUCGAGACUUACCAUGAAGUAACGGUAAUUGAGAUGCUAUGCUAUGGACACAAGGGUAGAUAAAUGGACCAAUGGACUAGAAUAGAAUCCAGAAAUAGACCCACAUAUAUGUGGUCACUUGAUUUAUGACAAAAGGGGACACUGUAGAGCAGAAAAAAAUUGCUGCUGGGUGAGCUAGUGUCCGUUUAGGAAAAAAACGAAGCUUCACUCCUAGUUCACAGCACAUGCAAGUAUUUCCAGAUGGAUUGUAGAUAUAAGUGCAGAAGGUAAAACACCGAACUUCUAGAAGAAAACAGGAGAAUAUCUUCCUUGACCUUUGGGCAGGCAAAAAUGUCUUAGCCAGGACAUAAGAAAACACUAACACUAGAGGGAAAAUAUUAAUAAAUUAAGAAUUUAUUUUCAUCAAAGGUCUCUAUUGGGAGUGAAAAGGCAAUCAUAGAGCGGAAGAAGAUAUCUCCAAUACAUAGACCUGAAAAAAACCAACUCUUAUCAGAAUAUGGAAAAGAACUCUUAUAAAUCUCUAAUUAAAAAGAAAAAACAAAGCAAAUUUAAAAUGAGCCAAAGAUUUGAACAGGCACAUCAUAAAACAGGAUAUUCAAAUGGCCAAAAAUGUAUAUAGAAAGGUGCUCACCAUGAUUAGUCAUCAGGAAAAUAUAAAUUGAAAUCACAAUUAAAUGCCCCUAGAUGACCACUAGAAUGGCUAAAGGAAAGUCUUACAAUACCAAGUGUCGACAAAGAUGUGAAGCAAGGGAAACUCUCAAACACUGCUGGGGGGGUGCAGACUCGCUUGGCCACACUAGGAAAAUCUUGGCAGUGUCGAGGUUGAACAGAGGCAUACCUUCUGGCCCAGCAACUCCACCCCGGGAUGUAUGUUUGGUAGAAGACGGCCACAUGAGGGCUUUGAACCCUCAAAGGUGGGUCUUUAAUCCUGUGUCUCUGCUGUUAGCGCAGGGCUGGAUGCUGAGUGCUGAGGAUGGAAGGCCUGGUGGAAUCUAAACUCUCACCUGCCUGCCCUUCCUCUACUUGCCUUUCCCUCCUGGCUCCAGGGACGGUUCCUGAGCUUGUCCUGGCUCUAGGGACCCUGCUUCCCUGCCGGGUGGAGCCUGUGCCACCUUAAGGGCAGGGGCUAGCUCCUUCCUCGCCGGCAGCCCCGCCCACCUGCAGCUGUGCCGCCACCACUCAGGAUUGGGGGUGCCCCACUCACAGUGCUCUUGGCUGAGGUGUGUGUGUGUGUAGGGGUCUCCACUAUGCUGUCUGUUCAGCCCCCAGCUCCUGCUCCUCCCUGGGGCUCUGUCCUCACUGCUCCCUCGCCAUCUCAGCCCAGCAAGCUCCUUCUCCUUCCCAAAGAGGAGGGAAGCUUUCCCAGUGGCGCUGGCAGCUCCCACAGCAGCAGGGAUGGCCUUCCCGCUGUCUCCCUCCCUCCCCCACACAGCAGGGGGGGCUCUUAAAUCACCGCCGCCGCCUCCACCUCCUCCUCUUCACUGAAGACUCAGGACCUGGAUGUUGUCAGGAGCCUGUGCGAAGGCCAACUGCCAGCUUCCCUCGGCUCAGGAAGGGGGUCGGCACUGCCUGGAAGGCGACAUCCUGCCUCCCUGCCAUCACCUCGGGCCAGAGGCAGUGCCCCAGGUGAAGCAGCAGUGCCAGGUCCCUGGGAUGUCAAGCAGGGGGACAGAGCCUCUUGGGCUCCCAUUCGCUGAGUGUUUUCCGUGCACUAAGUGCUGGACCACGCAUGACACACACGUGAUCUGGUGCAAGCCUCGCCCCCACCCCGAGAGGGGGCAUUGUCAUCACCCCCAGCUUUACACCUGGCCAGCAGCAGCGCUUGGCUUUGAAGCCAGGCUGUGGUCAACACUGCUCUGGCCACACACACACGGUGCCACUGGGCAGCAGCUCUCCCCACGACCGUGCCCUCUGUCCCCUUGCUUCUCUGCUCCUGCAGACCUCGCCCC